UGAUCCUGGCUCAGAUUGAACGCUGGCGGCAGGCCUAACACAUGCAAGUCGAGCGGUAGCGGGAAGAGCUUGCUCUUUGCCGACGAGCGGCGGACGGGUGCGUAACACGUAGGAAUCUGCCCGGUAGUGGGGGAUAGCCCGGAGAAAUCCGGAUUAAUACCGCAUACGCCCUAAGGGGGAAAGCAGGGGAUCUUCGGACCUUGCGCUAUCGGAUGAGCCUGCGUCGGAUUAGCUUGUUGGUGGGGUAAAGGCCUACCAAGGCGACGAUCCGUAGCUGGUCUGAGAGGAUGAUCAGCCACACUGGGACUGAGACACGGCCCAGACUCCUACGGGAGGCAGCAGA
RNAcentral lists this ribosomal RNA (343 nucleotides) under uncultured Endozoicomonas sp. RNAcentral describes it as "bacterial SSU rRNA". It matches the Rfam family "Bacterial small subunit ribosomal RNA", at positions 14 to 355 of the family's 1533-position model. Lineage: Bacteria; Pseudomonadati; Pseudomonadota; Gammaproteobacteria; Oceanospirillales; Endozoicomonadaceae. The record is from RNAcentral.